GCCGAGGUGUUGGAAUUGGUAGACAAGCUAGAUUCAGGAUCUAGUGGGCGUAUGCCCGUAAGGGUUCGAGUCCCUUUCUCGGCA
Molecule: transfer RNA, 84 nt
Filed under: Candidatus Poribacteria bacterium
Lineage: Bacteria; Candidatus Poribacteria
Description: tRNA-Leu
Rfam family: tRNA
About the family: Transfer RNA (tRNA) molecules are approximately 80 nucleotides in length. Their secondary structure includes four short double-helical elements and three loops (D, anti-codon, and T loops).
Source: RNAcentral